This 291-nucleotide ribosomal RNA is filed under the name uncultured bacterium. RNAcentral's name for it is "partial 16S ribosomal RNA". It matches the Rfam family "Bacterial small subunit ribosomal RNA", at positions 62 to 353 of the family's 1533-position model. The record is from RNAcentral.
UCGAACGGCACCCCUCUCCGGAGGGAAGCGAGUGGCGAACGGCUGAGUAACACGUGGAGAACCUGCCCCCUCCCCCCGGGAUAGCCGCCCGAAAGGACGGGUAAUACCGGAUACCCCCGGGCGCCGCAUGGCGCCCGGGCUAAAGCCCCGACGGGAGGGGAUGGCUCCGCGGCCCAUCAGGUAGACGGCGGGGUGACGGCCCACCGUGCCGACAACGGGUAGCCGGGUUGAGAGACCGACCGGCCAGAUUGGGACUGAGACACGGCCCAGACUCCUACGGGAGGCAGCAUG